GCCGGAAUAGCUCAGUUGGGAGAGCUUUCGACUGAAGUUGUUUCCGCAACAAAGGCCCCCGGUUCAAUCCCGGGUUCCGUCA
This 82-nucleotide transfer RNA is filed under the name Dreissena polymorpha. Its description in RNAcentral is "tRNA-Phe". Lineage: Eukaryota; Metazoa; Mollusca; Bivalvia; Myida; Dreissenidae. The record is from RNAcentral.